GAGGGAAAGUUGAAAAGAACUUUGAAGAGAGAGUUCAAAAGGGCGUGAAACCGCUUAGAAUAAAACGGACGGAGCCGUCAGUGGCCCUUUGGAAUCAGUCGUAUGUCGCGCGAUAAUUCGCUAGUCAGAGCGAAAAGUCUGACUGGUGGGUUGGAAAAGAGCGUUCAUUCGAUGCAUUUCUAGAGGGUAAGCGCCGCGACCGAUGCGAAAGGCUAGUGAAACUGGCGAAUUGAGGGCGAAACCUUUCGGGGUAUUCGUAACCAGUUCGUCGGUCUAUAGUCGCUAGACCGUAGUAUGUAUCGAGCGCAGAAUCUGAACGAAUGCCGGCGUAAACGCUCGUUCAAACGGUGGAAAGUCGACGGAUUAUUCGUCGCCUGCUUGCAGGUUACGUUUAUUCCCGUUCGGCGUUAGAAACCGAAGACGAGAAUCGGUGUUUCGGCGUCAGCGGCGUCCGAGACGGUCAACCGUCCGACCCGUCUUGAAACACGGACCAAGGAGUCUAACGUACGCGCGAGUUAAUGAGUGGAAAACUCAUAAGCGCAAUAAAAGUAAAAGCCGUCUUUGGCGGCGCGGGGUACGAUCCUUCGAAUAGAGAUAUUCGAGGCGCAGUACCAUCCCGUCCUGAUCGCUUGUCGAUAGGGCGGAGAUUGAGUGCGUACGUUGGGACCCGAAAGAUGGUGAACUAUGCCUGAGCAGAGCGAAGCCAGAGGAAACUCUGGUGGAGGUUCGUAGCGGUUCUGACGUGCAAAUCGAUCGUCAGAC
This 762-nucleotide ribosomal RNA is filed under the name Paralongidorus plesioepimikis. RNAcentral describes it as "eukaryotic LSU rRNA". It matches the Rfam family "Eukaryotic large subunit ribosomal RNA", at positions 355 to 910 of the family's 3401-position model. Lineage: Eukaryota; Metazoa; Nematoda; Enoplea; Dorylaimida; Longidoridae. The record is from RNAcentral.